RNAcentral lists this long non-coding RNA (708 nucleotides) under Homo sapiens (human). RNAcentral describes it as "HSALNT0101693". Lineage: Eukaryota; Metazoa; Chordata; Mammalia; Primates; Hominidae. The record is from RNAcentral.
AUUUUGUUCAUCUAAAUGUGUAUGUUUCUGCUCUAAUUGAAAUUCCUAAAUAGUCACUUUCUGAACUGUCAAAAUUGUAAAGCUGUUGAUGGGUGCAGCUCUGGGGUUUCCAUGGUAACUACUUUCAUUGCCUAGGAGAUGCUGGUCUGCUGAUACUAUCACUGAACUGGCUCAAAUCUUGAAAACUUGGCGGUGCCCAAAAAUGUGGAAGCAUGUCCUGAAAGUUUAACGGGCUUUUAUUUUUAAUGGCUGGCACCAAGCGUGGCCUCAUCAGGGCUUGGGAAGAGGCAGCUCUGUUUCGAGGUUCUUCAUUGUGUAGAGGAUGGGAGCUUUGACAAGCAUGCUAAUACUACCAGAUCCUCUUUGGAUGGUAAGCUUUUAUGUGAAUAGCUCCUAAAUAACAUUACCAUCACUCACUACUACUGGUAUGGAAAUUGAGUUAGGAUAACAGAGCCUGAGUUCCCCCAUGAGAUAACAAGAUGCUUCUGAAUAUAAGUCAAAAUUGGAGUAUAGAUUGUCUCACAACUCUACUGUUUUUUGUUUCUUUUCGUCUUUCUUUCUGUUUUCUCUUUUUGUCCCUCUCUUUCUCUCUUGUCUGAAGAGUCUGGGACGCUGAAGGCUAUAAACAUCAUGGUUUGUUACACACUUUCGAUGUCUGCUCAAAUGUGGUGUACCAUUUCUAAACCACCUCCUGUUAAACCGUUUGUG